GACGAACGCUGGCGGCGUGCCUAAUACAUGCAAGUCGAGCGRACAGAAGGGAGCUUGCUCCCGGAUGUUAGCGGCGGACGGGUGAGUAACACGUGGGUAACCUGCCUGUAAGACUGGGAUAACUCCGGGAAACCGGAGCUAAUACCGGAUAGUUCCUUGAACCGCAUGGUUCAAGGAUGAAAGACGGUUUCGGCUGUCACUUACAGAUGGACCCGCGGCGCAUUAGCUAGUUGGUGGGGUAAUGGCUCACCAAGGCGACGAUGCGUAGCCGACCUGAGAGGGUGAUCGGCCACACUGGGACUGAGACACGGCCCAGACUCCUACGGGAGGCAGCAGUAGGGAAUCUUCCGCAAUGGACGAAAGUCUGACGGAGCAACGCCGCGUGAGUGAUGAAGGUUUUCGGAUCGUAAAGCUCUGUUGUUAGGGAAGAACAAGUGCGAGAGUAACUGCUCGCACCUGACGGUAC
RNAcentral lists this ribosomal RNA (466 nucleotides) under Bacillus sp. CCMM B582. RNAcentral's name for it is "bacterial SSU rRNA". It matches the Rfam family "Bacterial small subunit ribosomal RNA", at positions 28 to 478 of the family's 1533-position model. Lineage: Bacteria; Bacillati; Bacillota; Bacilli; Caryophanales; Bacillaceae. The record is from RNAcentral.